This 236-nucleotide ribosomal RNA is filed under the name uncultured bacterium. Its description in RNAcentral is "partial 16S ribosomal RNA". It matches the Rfam family "Bacterial small subunit ribosomal RNA", at positions 100 to 334 of the family's 1533-position model. The record is from RNAcentral.
CGGGACGGGUGAGUAACGCGUGGAUAACCCGCCUCACACUGGGGGAUAACAGUUAGAAAUGACUGCUAAUACCGCAUAAGCGCACAGUACCGCAUGGUACAGUGUGAAAAACUCCGGUGGUGUGAGAUGGAUCCGCGUCUGAUUAGCCAGUUGGCGGGGUAACGGCCCACCAAAGCGACGAUCAGUAGCCGACCUGAGAGGGUGACCGGCCACAUUGGGACUGAGACACGGCCCAA